CAGCCGCCACGGGAAUACGGAGGGUGCAAGCGUUAAUCGGAAUUACUGGGCGUAAAGCGUGCGUAGGUGGUGGUUUAAGUCCGUUGUGAAAGCCCUGGGCUCAACCUGGGAAUUGCAGUGGAUACUGGGUCACUAGAGUGUGGUAGAGGAUAGUGGAAUUUCCGGUGUAGCAGUGAAAUGCGUAGAGAUCGGAAGGAACAUCUGUGGCGAAGGCGACUAUCUGGGCCAACACUGACACUGAGGCACGAAAGCGUGGGGAGCAAACAGGAUUAGAUACCCCAGUAGUCCCUGUCUCUUAUAA
This 301-nucleotide ribosomal RNA is filed under the name uncultured bacterium. RNAcentral describes it as "partial 16S ribosomal RNA". It matches the Rfam family "Bacterial small subunit ribosomal RNA", at positions 509 to 809 of the family's 1533-position model. The record is from RNAcentral.